UUGUCUCCCUCUCACAGCGCACACACAUAAAUGCAAGGCAAUUGCAACAACAACAGCAGCCGCACCAACCACAUAUAAUUGCUGUUCCAAUAACCUCUAACCCGAAGGCACAAAGCAGACAAACAACACAGAAGAGAUAACAACGAGAAAUACAAAUUGUGACUCGUGCCGUGCCACAACAAAACGAACACCGAACAAAUAACCAAAUAUAUUAAACUGUCAAACCAAAUAAUAACCCAAGACAGUCACACCCACACACACACUCACACAAUGGCAGGGACAUGGACAUGGCGAGCAGAGAGAUGAGAGAAAGAGGCAGCUGCAAUUCGCACAACUGCGCGCAAGGGAGACACACAUAGCAGAAAAGGCAAAGGAGGAACACAUAUAUUUACAGUAAACCCAAGAGAGUAUACCAAGAGAAUAACAGAGAGAGAGGAUCAGCUCUGCCUACGCGACCCGAAAGUUGUUGUUGCUGCUGCCACACAUCUAACCUCAAAUCGCUGCUGUUUUUGGUAAUAAACGAAGCGUUAAACAAAUUGCAUUACAACAACAACCACAACAUAGAAAACACAUUUUUGGUUUCUUUCCGAUUUGAUGUCUAGCAUAUGCAAAGCGUCAUAAAUGAGGCUGCCGAUGCCGCUGCUGCUGCUGGUGCUGCCUUGGGCGUAAUUACAUCCACAGCCAAAAAUGGUCAAACGAGCGAGAAAAUUAUCACAUUGCAGCCCACUGUGUGUUGUUGUAAUGCCAGCCACAAAAAGACUGAAAUUAAAUGCAAAUUUUUGGCUAACACAAAACAAAAUUUAUACACACACACACAAGAGGUUUCAUAAUCAGGAAAUUUACUAUUUUUCGGUGUCUUGAGCGGAGGAAAUUAAAAUUGUUGCUGCCGAAGAUUUGACAUUUGAUAUGCAAUUUGAAUAAUUUUGCCACUCCACUCCACUCCUCGAAAAUGCCAUACACAUACGAGAAUGUAAGGCAAAACUAGUUCCAACCUCAGCGACAACAGCAAAUGCCACGGAGAGCGGGCCUAAAUCCAAUACAGACAUAAAUCAAUGAACGCAAAAGUCGAAGGCAGCCCAGAAACACAGAAAUCAGCAAAUAAAUUGCACAGCAAUAAUGGAAAA
Molecule: long non-coding RNA, 1124 nt
Organism: Drosophila persimilis
Lineage: Eukaryota; Metazoa; Arthropoda; Insecta; Diptera; Drosophilidae
Exons: 2
Source: RefSeq, a predicted model, not a curated record